Molecule: ribosomal RNA, 497 nt
Filed under: uncultured bacterium
Lineage: Bacteria
Description: partial 16S ribosomal RNA
Rfam family: Bacterial small subunit ribosomal RNA
Source: RNAcentral
GAUGAACGCUGGCGGCGUGCCUAAUACAUGCAAGUCGAGCGAACAGACGCGGAGCUUGCUCCUCUGACGUUAGCGGCGGACGGGUGAGUAACACGUGGAUAACCUCCCUAUAAGACUGGGAUAACUUCGGGAAACCGGCGCUAAUACCGGAUAAUAUAUUGAACCGCAUGGUUCAAUAGUGAAAGACGGUUUUGCUGUCACUUAUAGAUGGAUCCGCGCCGCAUUAGCUAGUUGGUAAGGUAACGGCUUACCAAGGCAACCAUGCGUAGCCGACCUGAGGGGGUGAUCGGCCACACUGGAACUGAGACACGGUCCAGACUCCUACGGGAGGCAGCAGUAGGGAAUCGGCCGCAAUGGGCGAAAGCCUGACGGAGCAACGCCGCGUGAGUGAUGAAGGUCUUCGGAUCGUAAAACUCUGUUAUUAGGGAAGAACAAAUGUGUAAGUAACUAUGCACGUCUUGACGGUACCUAAUCAGAAAGCCACGGCUAACUACGUG